This 398-nucleotide ribosomal RNA is filed under the name uncultured bacterium. RNAcentral's name for it is "bacterial SSU rRNA". It matches the Rfam family "Bacterial small subunit ribosomal RNA", at positions 357 to 772 of the family's 1533-position model. The record is from RNAcentral.
GGGAAUAUUGGACAAUGGGCGAAAGCCUGAUCCAGCAAUGCCGCGUGAGUGAUGAAGGCCUUAGGGUUGUAAAGCUCUUUUACCCGGGAUGAUAAUGACAGUACCGGGAGAAUAAGCUCCGGCUAACUCCGUGCCAGCAGCCGCGGUAAUACGGAGGGAGCUAGCGUUAUUCGGAAUUACUGGGCGUAAAGCGCACGUAGGCGGCUUUGUAAGUUAGAGGUGAAAGCCUGGAGCUCAACUCCAGAAUUGCCUUUAAGACUGCAUCGCUUGAAUCCAGGAGAGGUGAGUGGAAUUCCGAGUGUAGAGGUGAAAUUCGUAGAUAUUCGGAAGAACACCAGUGGCGAAGGCGGCUCACUGGACUGGUAUUGACGCUGAGGUGCGAAAGCGUGGGGAGCAAA